Molecule: long non-coding RNA, 566 nt
Organism: Pungitius pungitius (ninespine stickleback)
Lineage: Eukaryota; Metazoa; Chordata; Actinopteri; Perciformes; Gasterosteidae
Exons: 3
Source: RefSeq, a predicted model, not a curated record
GUGUUUGUGGUGACUUAGUGAAUAAAGAGUUUCUGAUCUGAGGAGCAGCUAUGAGUUCAUCAGCCGGUGGAUUAGUCGUCUUCCUUCUCUCUGUACAAGUGAUACAGAGUCAGGACGGAUGGGGAGUGACUUACCGUCAGACUGAGGUCUGUGCUGCAAAAGGAUCAACUGUGUAUAUAAUCUGUUACUACACACACCCACCUGGAAUAGAUCACUCUGAUAUAAAGGACAGAUUCUGGUUCACUAAAGAGAAAGAUGGUGAACCUGUGGAUCUGAGAACAGACUCUGAGUAUUCAGACCGUGUGACGUACACAUGUUAUAGUGAUAGAGUGAGAUGCAUUCUGACCAUCACAAACCUGAGAGAGAGCGACUCAGCUGAGUACAAAUUCACAUUCAGGACAAACAAAGGAGAGAAAUAUACUGGUUCACCUGGAGUCACUUUGUCUGUCACAGAUUCAGGUCUCCAGGUGCAGGUGAGCAGAUCAGAUUCUACCUGGUUGGAGCUGACGUGUCACACCAGCUGUGAUCUGUCUCAUCAUCCUGGAUACGUCUGGUUAAAGAAUGAA